UAAUCAAUUAGAACUUAAUCCUGAUUAAAAUUAAUAUUUCAAUUCAUGAUAAAAAAAUUAAGUUAAACUUAAAUAACCCAAUCCUAAUUAUACACCAUUAUGUGAUCUUUGCGUUCGUGUGGCUGCGGUAGAGUGAUGGUUGAUGGUUGAAGCUUGAAGAAUGCUCAUCUCUUCCUCCUGAGACGGCUUCUGCAAUCGUGGUUUCUUCGACUGCAUGGUCGAAUUUGUGUCUGCACGAUGCUUAUGCUGCCUCCGGUCGUGAUUGGGGUAGAAGACGAUAUAGGACGAUGAAGAAGUGAUGCAGAGGAGGAGUUUGAAGAGGCGAACAGAAUGAAGAAGAGGUGGAAAUAGAGGUUUCAAGGAUGAAACAGAAAUGAAGAUGGGAUUGAAGAGUUGAAAAGAUUGCCGACUCCAGUAGAGAAUUGCAGAAUGGAAUUUGUGCAGGUUUAUGAAAGCGUGCCCUUGGAACAAGAAAGUUGGAGUUUAGUCAUUAAAAGUGGAAGCCUAAUUUUUUUGGAUUUGUAAGAUGGUCCAAUUUGUAAUGUUUAUGAAUAUAUAUUUUUUGAAUGAAAAUGGGCUUACAUUAGGUGCAAUAUAACCAGCCCAAGCCAACAUUAUCAUGUUGUUUAAAAAGUGACUUGCUUUGGGUUGAUUUUGUGACAA
Lathyrus oleraceus (garden pea) is the source of this 663-nucleotide long non-coding RNA. RefSeq lists it as uncharacterized. The record is from RefSeq and is a predicted model, not a curated record. The transcript is spliced from 2 exons. Lineage: Eukaryota; Viridiplantae; Streptophyta; Magnoliopsida; Fabales; Fabaceae.